This 519-nucleotide ribosomal RNA is filed under the name Triticum aestivum (bread wheat). RNAcentral describes it as "partial small subunit ribosomal RNA". The record is from RNAcentral. Lineage: Eukaryota; Viridiplantae; Streptophyta; Magnoliopsida; Poales; Poaceae.
AUGUGCAUACCGAAGAGCAGAGGAGGUAUGGGUUUUCGAGACAUUCACUGCUUCAAUCUAGCUCUAUUGGUAAAACAAGCAUGGAGGCUUAUUGAUGAUCCUGAGUCACUAUGUGCAAAGAUUCCCAAAGCAAAGUAUUACCCAAAUGAUGAUCUUUUGAAUAUGGGGUUGAGGAAGAAGGCCUCCUACACAUGGCAAAGUAUAAUCGCAGGAGUGGACACCUUGAAGCACUGCCUGAUCUGGAGAGUGGGCGAUGGACAAAAAAUUAAAAUUUGGGAAGAUUGCUGGAUCCCACAAUCACCAUCUAAAAAAGUUAUCUCUCCUAGAGGUAACCACUUGUUAUCCCGUGUAUCUGAGCUAAUAGAUCCUGCAUUGGGGGAGUGGGAUAGGUAGCUUGUGUACCAAACUUUUUGUCAUGUUGAUGCCCAGAGAAUACUUGCUAUCCCAGUGCCUAUAUAUGAAAUGCCAGACUUCUUGGCAUGGAGCUUGACAAAGACAGGGGGUUUCUCGGUAAGAUCU